UACGAAUCGUCCAAACGUUGUUCGGAUUCACUGGGUUUAAAGGGCGCGUAGGCGGUGCGUUAAGUCGGCGGUGAAAUACUUCGGCUCAACCGGAGAAUUGCCGCUGAAACUGGCGUGCUCGAGGGAGGUAGAGGUGCGUGGAACUUCCGGUGGAGCGGUGAAAUGCGUUGAUAUCGGAAGGAACACCUGUGGCGAAAGCGAUGCACUGGACCUCUUCUGACGCUGAGGCGCGAAAGCCAGGGUAGCGAACGGG
This 253-nucleotide ribosomal RNA is filed under the name uncultured bacterium. RNAcentral describes it as "partial 16S ribosomal RNA". It matches the Rfam family "Bacterial small subunit ribosomal RNA", at positions 524 to 776 of the family's 1533-position model. The record is from RNAcentral.